AUCUGGCUGGCUCAGUUGGUAGAGCAUGCGACUCUUGAUCUCAGGGUUGUGAGUUCAAGCCCCACGUUGGGCA
This 73-nucleotide transfer RNA is filed under the name Canis lupus familiaris (dog). It matches the Rfam family "tRNA". From Rfam's summary of the family: Transfer RNA (tRNA) molecules are approximately 80 nucleotides in length. Their secondary structure includes four short double-helical elements and three loops (D, anti-codon, and T loops). Further hydrogen bonds mediate the characteristic L-shaped molecular structure. tRNAs have two regions of fundamental functional importance: the anti-codon, which is responsible for specific mRNA codon recognition, and the 3' end, to which the tRNAs corresponding amino acid is attached (by aminoacyl-tRNA synthetases). tRNAs cope with the degeneracy of the genetic code in two manners: having more than one tRNA (with a specific anti-codon) for a particular amino acid; and 'wobble' base-pairing, i.e. permitting non-standard base-pairing at the 3rd anti-codon position. RNAcentral also lists the same sequence under 1 other name. Lineage: Eukaryota; Metazoa; Chordata; Mammalia; Carnivora; Canidae. The record is from Rfam by way of RNAcentral.